RNAcentral lists this ribosomal RNA (484 nucleotides) under uncultured bacterium. RNAcentral describes it as "partial 16S ribosomal RNA". It matches the Rfam family "Bacterial small subunit ribosomal RNA", at positions 30 to 507 of the family's 1533-position model. The record is from RNAcentral.
AUUGAACGCUGGCGGCAGGCCUAACACAUGCAAGUCGAGCGGAUGAAGGGAGCUUGCUCCUGGAUUCAGCGGCGGACGGGUGAGUAAUGCCUAGGAAUCUGCCUGGUAGUGGGGGAUAACGUCCGGAAACGGGCGCUAAUACCGCAUACGUCCUGAGGGAGAAAGUGGGGGAUCUUCGGACCUCACGCUAUCAGAUGAGCCUAGGUCGGAUUAGCUAGUUGGUGGGGUAAAGGCCUACCAAGGCGACGAUCCGUAACUGGUCUGAGAGGAUGAUCAGUCACACUGGAACUGAGACACGGUCCAGACUACUACGGGAGGCAGCAGUGGGGAAUAUUGGACAAUGGGCGAGAGUCUGAUCCAGCCAUGCCGAGUGUGUGACGAAGGUCUUCGGAUUGUAAAGCACUUUAAGUUGGGAGGAAGGGCAGUAAGCUAAUACCUUGCUGUUUUGACGUUACCAACAGAAUAAGCACCGGCUAACUUCGUG